RNAcentral lists this long non-coding RNA (426 nucleotides) under Elaeis guineensis (African oil palm). RNAcentral describes it as "long non-coding RNA (EGUI_LNC042991)". The record is from RNAcentral. Lineage: Eukaryota; Viridiplantae; Streptophyta; Magnoliopsida; Arecales; Arecaceae.
AGACUUUAGUCAUGGCCUUCAACUAGUAUGGAAUAUCUAUCAAGGGCUCUGGUGAUCGGCACUGCUAGUGAAAAUGAUCAGAAAAGAAGAGAUAGGGUCAGAUCUUAAAAAACAAGGAAGAUAGAGGUGGAGGAAGAUUAGUUAAGAGAUCUUUGGGCUCUCAGUAGUGUUUGGCUAUGGCAUCUGGUGGUGGAGCAUUGCAAUUGAGAUGAAGAAGAGGGAGGACACUGGUAAUUUCCUAUGGGGAGUUAGUCUCCUCCCUAGUAUGUGUAAAGCAUGUGCUAAGUUUAAGAUUUUUUUUUCUUUGUGGCGAUAGAACUUUUGAGCCCUAAUUUAGACACCAGGCUAGGCCAUAGAGGUCGGGCCAUCCCAAAAAUAAACUUUAGGUGGGUCAAAUGGACCAAACCUGGUUCUUUUAUAGGCCAA